RNAcentral lists this ribosomal RNA (506 nucleotides) under Phoma sp. CO. RNAcentral describes it as "eukaryotic LSU rRNA". The stretch from base 152 to 305 matches the Rfam family "5.8S ribosomal RNA". Lineage: Eukaryota; Fungi; Ascomycota; Dothideomycetes; Pleosporales; Didymellaceae. The record is from RNAcentral.
AAGGAUCAUUACCUAGAGUUGUAGGCUUUGCCUGCUAUCUCUUACCCAUGUCUUUUGAGUACCUUACGUUUCCUCGGCGGGUCCGCCCGCCGAUUGGACAAUUUAAACCAUUUGCAGUUGCAAUCAGCGUCUGAAAAAACAUAAUAGUUACAACUUUCAACAACGGAUCUCUUGGUUCUGGCAUCGAUGAAGAACGCAGCGAAAUGCGAUAAGUAGUGUGAAUUGCAGAAUUCAGUGAAUCAUCGAAUCUUUGAACGCACAUUGCGCCCCUUGGUAUUCCAUGGGGCAUGCCUGUUCGAGCGUCAUUUGUACCCUCAAGCCUUGCUUGGUGUUGGGUGUUUGUCUCGCCUCUGCGUGUAGACUCGCCUCAAAACAAUUGGCAGCCGGCGUAUUGAUUUCGGAGCGCAGUACAUCUCGCGCUUUGCACUCAUAACGACGACGUCCAAAAGUACAUUUUUACACUCUUGACCUCGGAUCAGGUAGGGAUACCCGCUGAACUUAAGCAU